CUCCAGAGACUCAAAUAUCUCAAAUAUUCCAGCAGGAACUGGAAGCAGCUGUUUCAGCCAGUAAUCGUGAGAGGCUUCAGGACGAGCUGGAGGAGGCGAAAA
This is a long non-coding RNA of Silurus meridionalis, 102 nucleotides long. RefSeq lists it as uncharacterized. NCBI's taxonomy places the organism in Eukaryota, Metazoa, Chordata, Actinopteri, Siluriformes, Siluridae. The record is from RefSeq and is a predicted model, not a curated record. The transcript is spliced from 2 exons.